UUGGACAGAGGUUAAUCGACGUGGUGUAUUGAAACUCAGUUAUAAUUAAAAAGAUUCAUAUUGUGGACUGUUGAAUGACUUGUACACAGGUUAAUCGACGAGGUGUACCGAACCUCAGUUAUAAUCUAAAAGAUUCAUAUUGUGGACUAUCGAAGCAUCCUACCGCUUAUUUUGCUAGAAGAAUAUACAAUACAGCCUAGAUUUGAAGACAUGACCAACAAAUGCUCAAGGUAAGUAUGUACCUAACAGGCAUGGACAUGAAUAUUACAUAGUAGCACAAAUAAGCAGAGCAUACCCUUACAUGUCAGUCCUAGUGCUUGGUUCAUGUUAAGAUGUAGACCUUGGAGGUACCCGGACUGAAUACUCAAGUCCCAUGGUAGUCAUAGUAACUCUUUAGAUACUAAAAAA
This 408-nucleotide long non-coding RNA is filed under the name Triticum aestivum (bread wheat). RNAcentral's name for it is "long non-coding RNA (TAES_LNC024696)". The record is from RNAcentral. Lineage: Eukaryota; Viridiplantae; Streptophyta; Magnoliopsida; Poales; Poaceae.